CCCCUUGUAGCAUGAUCCAUCUUUUUUUUUAUCAAAAACCUUUGUUUUCUCUUUUCUUCUUGCUUGUCGAGUUGAUUGAGUGUUGGUGUGUAAUAUCCAACUUCUGGUGUGUAAUAUCCAGAGUCUAAGGGCUUCUUAUUUGGUGUGUCAUAUCGAGAUCAGUCGCCUAGGAGUAUCAAGAGAUCAGCCAUCCCUCUUGUGUCACCAUUCGAUCCACUAACCUUGAGAAACUUGAGUCUCUUAUCGCCUAGGAGUAUCAAGAGAUCAUCCAUCCCUCUUGUGUCACCAUUCGAUCCACAAACCUUGAGAAACUUGAGUCUCUUGAUUCGUUUCUGCAUGGACUAUACCAUCUGUUCCAGAGCAUCAUCCUAGGAUCUCAUUAUGUGGUAUCAGAGCAAUUCUGGAAGGGAAGUGUUUGAUUUUUCUCUCUGAUUUUCGUUUCGGUCUGUUCAUAUUCUGUCGAGUUUGAUCUGAUCUGUGUUCUUUGUGUUUAAAUCUGAUAAAUCUGAGAACUUUGAUCACAAGUCUGAGUGUAGUCUUUUCAUAAUCUUGUGGAGAAAGUUAUUAAUUUGUGUUGUCUUUGAAUCUGAUUAGAAUUGAAAGAGAUCGAUCUGUUUCUGAGAAUUGUGAAUCUGUUUUUUUUUUUGUGUUUUAAUCAUCAAAUCCAAAUCUGAAAUUGAACCUGAUUUCGGGAUCUAUCUUUGUUCUGAUUACGGUUUUAUUGUUUCAAUUUGAUUUGUGUCUGGUUAGGUUUGUUUUGUCAAUUUGAAUCUGCUUUGGAUCUGUCGAUUGAAGUUUGUUGAUCAGUUUCUGUUUGGUUUAUGAUUGAUCGUUUCUCUCUGUUGCUUCUGUUUGUUUCUGAUUAUCAAACUUGUUCUGAUUAUCAAUCUGAUUAAUUUUGGGUUGUUUGUCGAUUUGAAUCUGUUCUGGUUUAUUAUUGCUUACUUGUUUCUGUAAAUCGAAAAUCAAUCUAAUAUUUCUCUGUUGUAAUUCUGAGUGUUCUGUUUCCUUAGAACUUGUUACUGCUGUGUGUUGUUUUCUGUUUCAGGUACCAUGGCAGGAGAUCAAAAAGGAGAACCCAGCAAGGAAGAAAAAUUGAUGAUUGAAUCAUUCAAGGCCAGUAUGGGUCUUGUCCUCAAAGAUCAGAUGAGACAACUAAGACUGGACCUGCGACGGGAACUCCAACAAGCUUCUGGUCAGAGUCUUGAGCCUAGAAGCAGUGAGAGGAGACAAAGACGUGAUCAUGAAGGCAGGGGCAAUCACAGAAAUAAAUUUUCUCAUCAAAAGCUGAAAAUCCCUCCUUUUCAUGGCAAGGCUGAUCCUGCUNNNNNNNNNNNNNNNNNNNNNNNNNNNNNNNNNNNNNNNNNNNNNNNNNNNNNNNNNNNNNNNNNNNNNNNNNNNNNNNNNNNNNNNNNNNNNNNNAAGAUGGAGUUGAUUUUCAAAUGUCAAAGCUAUGCUGAAGUAAAGAAGGUUCAAAUAGCCACUGCUGAGUUUUAUAGUUAUGCUUCAAGCUGGUGGAAUCAAUUGGUGUCGUCUAGGAGACACUAUGUAAAAGAACCAGUUGCAACCUGGCUUAAAUUAAGGGCUUUGAUGCGUCAUAAGUAUGUUCCAAGACAGUACCACAAGGAAGUACUUCAAAAACAGUCUUAAACAAAGCCAUGCUCUGCAAACUCAGUACAGGAACAACAAGGCAGAAUGAGAUCAAGUUCAUCCGGUGUUAUUGGUUUACCUAGCAAGACAACAAGAUGGUUCAGUGAGGGGGACAUAAAGAAGCGGUCUCAAGUGAUUAUGGAUGUUGAGAAACAACUCAGAGAGACCCACACCACACGUACAACCAUAGAAGAACAAAACCAAGAGUCAAUCACUUCAGUCUCAGAACUUAAUUCAGCAGAGCCGGUAUCAGCUGUGCCUAUUCAAGAAGAGCAAGCCAAAGCAACAUCACCUAUCUUUAAUAAAGAAGAGCAGCCUGGUCAGAACGUCAUUGUUCCUUUCAAACAAGACAUGGUAGCAGAGGAGAUACCCAGGGAACCACAGAGAGCUCACAGAAUGAAUCAACUAAUUGUCUUUGAUCCAUGUGAUUUUCAAAAGACCUUCUUAGGUCAGACUAUUUUGAGGUCUACACUUUUCGAAAAGAAGGGUUAUAAUGACCAGAGUAUCAAUGAUGAGUCCUUGGCUAAGUUGGCGAAGCAACAAGCAAACCUUGAAAACUGUCUAGCCGCCAACUUUGACAUAGGAGCAGUCCAAGGAUCAUAUCUCAACAACCAAAGGGAUGAAAGCAACAAACUCGACUUCCAUGGAAACUUAACUCAUCAGGGACUCACGGCGAAUUGGAAUCAUGUCUAAAGCUUCUCAGGGGAAAGAGNNNNNNNNNNNNNNNNNNNNNNNNNNNNNNNNNNNNNNNNNNNNNNNNNNNNNNNNNNNNNNNNNGAAAGAGUUAUGGGUUCUAGAAGUCGGGUGAACCUGUGUUUGCUUUGUUUGAAUUUUUCUGAGUUUAGAACAUCUCAAUCCUAUCUAUGGCGACCAGGUGAGCAUGCUAAGGUAACUAAUCAUGUUUUCAAGAGUUCUUUUAUUGAUUACACAGAUAUGAUGCACUUGUUUUUGUCAAAAGAGCCAUGUACAGAUUAUGAUGAAGCUUUGAAGCAUACAAGGAGAAAGAACAAGCGUGAGGAAGACAAGCGUUUCAAGCCACCUGAUCUGAACCAGGAGAGACAUCAGGACAUUAAUUGAUUCAUCCUCAUCAAAGAAGCACCUCCAGAUGCAGCAUACAAGCCAAAACCGAGCAAAAACCAAUUUGGGAUAAGACUCUUACUCUUUGAUAAAUUUUCAUGUGCUAACUGGUUUUGUUUCAAUGUAUCAGGUUUAAGGAAUGCAUCAAGUAGAACCAAACGGAUCAGUCCCUCCUACAUAAUCGAACCAAUCAGAAAUAAUGCCUAUCAAAGAGGCUUGCAAGGUAAGUGUAAUCUGAUUUUAAACUUUGAUAUUACUGACUCGGCCCCCUCUAUUGCAGGUAAAGCAGAUUUCAGGACAAAUCUUUUUGAAGAGGGAGGGGAUGAUGUGAUCAUGGAAAGCACCAAGGAAUGGAAGUAUUAACCUGAUCCUGAAGAGAUUGUAGCUGAGUAGGCAACAUUGAAGAAUGCUUGGAAACAAGAAGUAUACAUUAGUCUUGGCCGAAGCUUGAUCAUCCAAGACACCUUAACCAUCAUUCAAGCUACUUCACUUUCACGCUGAUCAUCAUCUAGGCAAGUAGCUUGUGUGUGCUCUUUUCCUAACCUUUGGUUUUGUCCCACUGGGUUUUCCAAAGGAAGGUUUUUAACGAGGCCACAAGUCUACUUCUCCUAUCUCCUAGAUGAUUGAUCUUGGUCUGUCCACAUGAAGACCUUAUGUUAUAUUUUUUAAGCUAUGCUUUCAUAUUAUUUAGUUUUCGAAAACUCUAGUCUUUGUUGUGUUUCCAAGGGAGCCUUUGUCUUUAUUUCCCUUGUAUUUUCGAGACCUUGUGCAUGUACAAGGCUUCUCCUUUAUAUUCUGGUCGUGACCCCCCUUGUAGCAUGAUCCAUCUUUUUUUUAUCAAAAACCUUUGUUUUCUCUUUUCUUCUUGCUUGUCGAGUUGAUUGAGUGUUGGUGUGUAAUAUCCAACUUCUGGUGUGUAAUAUCCAGAGUCUAAGGGCUUCUUAUUUGGUGUGUCAUAUCGAGAUCAGUCGCCUAGGAGUAUCAAGAGAUCAGCCAUCCCUCUUGUGUCACCAUUCGAUCCACUAACCUUGAGAAACUUGAGUCUCUUGAUUCGUUUCUGCAAGGAUUAUCCCAUCUGUUCCAGAGCAUCAUCCUAGGAUCUCAUUACUAAAGAUGGAACCUUCUAAAGAUAGUUUCACUUUCGUGGAUAACUCCCAAGCAAACUCAGCAAGCAUGAUCAAGGAUGUUAAGGUGGAGAUAGGGGAAUGCAUUAUCCCUGUGGACUUGCAUGCUGUGGAUAUCAAAUCAGGCAAAACAUCUUCACUUCUUUUUGGAAGAGCUUUCAUGGCUACAGUGGGGGCAGUUUGUGAUCUUAAGAGAAAUAAGAUGUGUCUGACUAAUGUUGACGAAACUGUCUUCUAUGUUCCCAUGGAAAAGAAGAAAAGUAAGGAGCUUAUUUCAUGCAUAUAGAUGCUUAAAGAUCCAGGACCUGCAGCUGAUUCAAAUUCGUGAGCCUGCAAAAACCAGAAUCAGCGUCAGUCGACAUUAGAAUUGCAGCAUCGGUCGACUUUCAGCCCUCAGAAUCGAUCGACAAUCAGCCUUCAGCAUCGGACAACUUCCAGUCUUCAGAAUCGAUCGUCGCAAAGCUUUCAGCAUCGAUCGACGCCCUCCGAGUUUUAGAACAGUCCGAGAGUGAAAAGUCUAAGUUUGGGGGAACAACCAGGAAUAGGAAGAAGAAAAAGAAAAGGAAUGCAGAUGCAGAUUUUCUAUCAGUAGUUCCUGUGCAAUGUCAAGAGGGUAGUCUUGAGUAUAGAGUGCGCUGCAGAGGAGGUCAUGAACCUUUUACCAAGUUUAGAGUGCUAUGUGAUCCAGAGCUGGGAGAGAAAGGAGAAGUUUCUGCAAGAGCUUUUAUCAACUGCAUCAACAAAAUGAGGAAGAGAGACAUAAAGACUUGUUUUGGAGCAAGUUUUCAUCCUCAUCCAUACUAAAUCAGAUCACCAAAGUCAAGCUAAAUGACUAUAACAAAGCGCUGAGUGGGAGGCAACCCACUGUUAAGUAAUUUUAUUUGGUUUUAUUUUAUAUUAUUACUGAUUUUCGUUUUUAAUUAUAAUGGAGACCCAAGGAAAAUAGUUGAUAUACCAGCAUCGACCGACAUCUGAUCAUUGACGGCCGCCACCACUUCACAUGAGCAUCGUGCGAUACCUGAUCAGUGUCGCUCGACAGCAAAUCAACAAAAUCGAUCGAUCGCCACUUAACUGUGUUGAUCGACAUUCACAUCCACCAAGCAGGUAUAUCGUCUUACCUUGUUAAUUUCGUACUUAUGAUUAAUUUCCCCACCAAUCUUAGACUAUAUAACAUUCGAGACAGUGUUAUUUAAGUCUGGGGGAGGUUCAACUAAUAUUAUGUUUUAGUUAGCUAUAUAAAACAAAAAGAUCCGAGUAGACGAUUGCCCAGCAUAUCGACCGAUGAGAGCAUAUCGACAGUACAUUACCUACAGCGACCGAUGGUAUCUCCUUUCCAUCGACCGACACUUAAUCUGGUCAGAUAUAUCGUUCUAACUUGUCAAAUUGGGUACUUAUGUUUAUGUUCUCACCAAAAUUCGAAUGGAUAUACACUGGGGACAAUAUAAUUUAAAUCUGGGGGGAGGUUUACCGAUAUCUAGUUAUUGUGAGUCUUAUCAAAUGUUUUCAAAAAAAAAAGAGUGUUGUUAUCAAGUUAAGAAGGGGAUUAUGAUCAAAUACAAUUUUACUUACUCUCUAACCGCUCUCUAGCACCAUUCUUUGAGUUUAUUGACUGCAGGGUGUACUGAAUAGAAACGCCAAAGUGGAUUACCUGCUAAUAACAUCCAUGCUCGCUGAGAAAGUCUGAAGGAACCAAAGCUGACUUCCAACCUUAAUCAACUGAACUUGCUUGUCUUGGGGUUUGGUAUACAUCGGAUCGGAUUCCUCUUUCAGGUCUGAAAGGUCUAAGUCUGUAAAUUUUUGGUUUCCUUCUCUCCUCUUUUUGGCAUCCAAAAAGAAAGAAAAAGAAAAGAUUGAAAUGAUUGAAAUGAUUUCUUGCGGUUUAGAGGGGUAGGAGUGUCUCAUGUGACCCCAUUAUUCUUCUCUAAUGGAAUGAUCACACAUCGUUGGCAACGAGGGGUAGGUACAUUACCGAUGACCCCACUAUCAUCUACACUUUUCCAAGACAAGAAAAAAAUGUAAAGAAAAGUCGAAAAGAAGAUGAAUAAGAUGGACUGCGCCAGGAUCAUUGUUCAUUGGAUUUGAGAUAAAAGGAUUCAGAGAAGAGAGAUAUAGGGAGAAAAGAAACCAGAAUAAGACUACCUGUUUACUUAGAUACCUGCUGGGGUAAGAGUCCAUGUGUCCUUUGAUUGAUACUCACAAGAUUUAGCCUACACAUUUAUAUGCAGAUAUGAGGUCAGUAGAGGGGUAUGUCAGGCGGAAUCAACUAAGCAAUGGGCUGGAUGGUUUGGUUGCUAAGCUAAGGUCUAGUACAUGAAGUGCCUCUAAAGUUGGCACUAAUCUGAUGUGGCUUGCAACACUGCAGAGGUAAAAGUAGUAAGUUUAAAAUUUUGUGUGUCCAUGAUAUUUUCAAACCUCUUUCACAUGACUACUAUAUGUUUUGCUUGAGAACAAAUAAAAGGGUAAGUCUGAGAGAGUUGAUAUAGGUGUUUUAAGAUAUCUUUACUACAAUACAUAGUAUAUUUAGAGUAUUUACAGGUUCAGGGACGAUUUGGAGGAAAGUGGUGAUUUUGGUGUCUUUUGGAGCAUUUGGAGUGCAGAGCUGCACAGACGCAUCAGAUAUUUAGCUAUAGAUGGAGACCUUCCCACCGUUAGAUGGAGCCCAUCGUUUGACACAUGAUAGAGCUUUGAGUUAGCUUUCCAAUGCCACCAGUCUGAGGUCAAUCAGCAUCAUGUAGCAGACGUUAUGCCCGUUUUACUGAAGAGUGGUCUGUAUGUCUCGCGAGAGGAGGCUGUCGAGGAGAUGAAGGACUGUCGAUCGACGGUGCACCCUUGCCAUCGAUCUACGGUGAUGCCAGAAUAUUGGCCAAGCAUAUUUUAUGACCGACUGAAGCCCAAAAGCCACACCAAGUUACCAAAAUACCCAUAGACAACCAGAAACCAUAUUUAUGUAUUUCUAACCCAUUGUUGACGGCUACGAGCUUUCUAUUUUUUUCUUAGGUUUGGAGAGAAGAUCAAUUCUCCUUCAGAGAUUGAUUGGAACUCCAUUGGUUUUAUCAUUGAUUUCUUUAUCGAUUAUAUUAUUCAGACUAUGAUUUGUGUUAUUGAUUUUAUGUCUGAGUAAUCAUCUUGUUAGGUUUAGGGAUUUCAUGAGCUUAAUGUCAAACUGAUAAUCAAUUAGGAUUGCUAGAUUAUCUAUAGAUCUCUACACCAGGGUGAUUUGUAAUACUAGGAUCUGGAAUAGUUGGAAUAGAACGACAGUGUGACUAAUUGUUUGAAUCUAGAAUCAUAGGAUAGUUGAGAGGCACAAAAGUGCAAUCAAUUAACGGAACCCGAACUCUGCUGGAUUAGAUAUCUAGGUGCAUACGAGAGUUGGUCUAGAAAUCUAGUUGAACUUAAUCGAUUAGGUCGUUAAUGCUUGUCUAAGGAAGAAUCGAUCGACGCUUUGGCCAUAACAUCAAUCGACGCUCGAUUCAAGUCAACAAGCGACAGCUGAGACUGGACUUAGACAUCUGAUUAGUAAUUACAUGCGAAAGCUGGAUACUUACUUAUUAAAAUCAUGUUCUAGAAUUGAAUCUAUAAACCAUUAGCAUCUUUGAAUUGUAGUUUUUAAUCUCUUUAUUGAUAAAUCCCCAAGUCCAGCUAUUUCUCCUAAUUGUUUACAACCUCAAUCAACCAAUCGAACAACUACUUUGUUCACCUUGCUUUCAUUUAUUUACUGCUUUAUAAACUGUUUGCCUACCCUAAUCUUGAUUUCUAUAGUCUAUUGUGUGCCCUAGCUCUCUGUGGAUUCGAUCCCUAAGUGCUACAACUCGACCUCUGAUUUGAGAGAGUAUAAAUCACUCCUUAGGGUAAUUUGAGUGAUAUCACAUGGUUGCGACACUAGUUCUAAUUCAGCACGCGACUGGAAACAUGCAUGACCAGGAGGGUCAUCUGCGUAAUGCAGCAGGUCAGAAGAUAGAUGAUCAGGGGGCUGUAAUCCCUGAUACUGAUGCUGAUAUUGCAGCUGCUACACCGAGGACAUUAGCUGAUUACAACAGGCCAGAUCAGUACUACGAGAACAGAUCUGCCAUCCGUCCUCCAGCCACACAGAGGUAAGACUUUGAGUUGAAGCCUCAGUACUUCACACUCGUUGGACAUACAUCCUAUUGUGGGUUAUCACACGAGCAUCCUAUGGACCAUCAGGAAAGGUCUGAGGAUCUAGUUUCUGCUAUUAAAGCCAAUGGAGUCCCUGAGGACUACCUCUUUUGCAAGCUCUUCAAGUACUCACUUGCUGGAGAGGCUUCGCACUGGCUUAAGCAGCUACAACCAGGAUCUCUCACAUCAUGGGCCGAUAUCAAGAAUGCAUUCUUAUGCCACAUCUUUGAUGAGGCACGGGCUGAAGACUUGAGGAGUAAGAUUGCUACAUUCACACAUGUGCCUACAGAGUCAUUCAGAAGCUCCUGGAUCAGAUUCAAAUCAUAUCAGAGAGACUGUCCACACCAUGGAUUUAAUGAAGUGCAGCUGCUCAGUACUUUCUUUAGAGGCAUCGCGCUGGCAUAUCAGAUGGCUCUAGACUUAGCUAGUGAUGGAAAUUUCAACACUAGGAAUCCAGAGGAGGCUGUGAGACUUAUUGAGAACUUGGCAUCCAGCAACAUCACCAAGAACACUGAUUUCUAAUGAAAAAAAUCGGUCCAUGCCCUAGGGAAGGAGUAGUUGGAAGAUGUUAAGGCUAGGCUGGAUAGUGUUCACAAGCUUCUCAAGAAACAAGUUAGCUUUGCAAAGGAUGUAGAGGCUGUAGAUGUCGACAAUGCCAAGGACGAAAAUGAGGAUGUGAACUUUGUCAGUGGUUCAGGCUUUCAAAAUCAGAGGUCUGGAAAUCAGAGUGGAUACAAAAACUCAUAUGGCAAUUGUCAGAAGAGUGGAUACAACCAGAGUUCACAGUACCAAAAACCCUACAACAACAACUACAACAGCAGCAACAAACCUUAUGGAAGUUCUUACUAUCAAAAUCAACUGCCGAAAACUCGAGAGAGAAAGAUAGAGUCCAUGCUUGAUCAAGUUCUUGAGGGUCAGCAGAAGUUAAUAGUGAACUUCAACAGAAAGAUUGAUGAUGUCUACACAGAGCUGAGCUCAAAAUGUAUUUCCUUGAACACACAUGUGAGGAAGUUGGAGACACAAGUGGUUCACACAGGAGACACUAUUAAAAGGCAGGAGGCCUUCAUGAAGGGUAAAGGGGAUAACUCACUGAAGCACCACGUGAAUGCCAUCAUGGAUGAUGAUUUCUAGCAAGUGGUUAAGGGGAAGAAGCUUCAGGAGAGAGACUUCCAAGUCGAAAGCUCCAUGAGUUUUGGCGGUUCACAUUGGUGUCGAUUGACGCCAAGUCACGAACAUCGACCGACGGAGAAGGACGAGCAUCGAUCGACUUCAGUUUCUCAACAUCGAUCGACAAAGGAAGUUGCAUUAUGCGUGACCGUGAGAAUUCUGACUCACGAGGAGUUCGCGGCUAAACACCCACACCCACAUCCACCCAAACCCUUACGAAUCAAGAAGUCAGACGUCGAUCGACACCAUAACCUAGCCGCCGAUCGACAAACAGACUCCACCAACGAUCGACACGAACCAUCCAGCGUCGAUCGACGACCACCUUUGACCUACCGAGUGCAGCUACCAAAAAUAGAUGUAGCACGCCUGAAUGCUAUCAAAAACCCAUGUGUGUUCAGUGACUGAGAAUAAGAGAGAAGAGAGGGAGGAAAGGAACUGGAUAAGACUACAUGUGUGUUCAGAUACUUACAUGAGUUGAUUCCAUGUGUUCAGUGAUCGAUACUCCCAAGGUAAAGCCUACAUGUUUUCACUACAUGUACUAAAUGAGGUCAGUAGAGGGAUUAGUCAGACAUGAUUUGCUAAGAUGUUAAAUGAAUGGAAUUGGUUACCAAACUAGGAUAUUGCAUAUAAAGUAUUUUUAAAAGUUGAGAUUGAUUUGAUGUGGUUGCAAUAUUGUUGAGGUGGUGAUAGUGAGUUCUUAAAUUAUGUGAGUCCCUAUUGUACCAAAAACACCUGUCAGAGAGACUGCUCAUUGUUUUGCUUGAGGACAAGAUCCAAUAACUCCUUCAGAGAUUUGUGAUUGGAACUCUAGUUUAUCUACUCUAUUAUAUUUUAUGCAGUUUUCAAAUCUCUUUGUUAUGAAUUGCUUAGUUAUGUCAGAGUAGUUCUUCUUGUUAGAUUUAAGGUUUAGAUAUUCAUGAGGGAUUAACACAAAAUAUAGAAUUGCUAAGUGUCAGGAAUAUUAAUAAACUAAAUUGUUCUUAAUGCAUGUGUUCUAGAGUAGCUAAAUAGGACGUGGCCUUAAGAUAGUAGGGCGCAAGCGGAAGUUUGGUUCUCUGUCUUAUUAGUGUAAAAUGUGCUAGGAUUGCCAGAAACAAGCGGAAGCUGAUUUAGUUAAACCUAGUGAACACGUAAAACUCGUGCGAUAACGCUCCUUGGAAGGUUCAUCGAUCGACAACUCACUAAUUGCAUCGAUCGAUGGACUGAAAGGUGUAUCGAUCGACACCCCGUUGUUGGAAUCGAUCGACACUUUCUCAGGACCAAUAAGCGACAGCUGAGGUCCUAGAUCCGGUGAUAGAUAGUCUAAAUAUACGAAAGUUGAUUGACUAUUCUUAUUGUUUGAGUUCCAGAAUAUCCAUAUUUGCUUAGUAAUCUAUAUCUCUAUAAUCAUGAUUGUUUGAAUAGAAACCCUAAUUCAAACGUUUCUCAUAUCUAUCUUAAAACCCCAAAUCAAUCAAUCGAAUAAUUACUUGUUCACCCCUGUUAUUUACUGCUUUAAAACCUACUUACCUAGCUUAACUACAUAACUAGAUAGAUCUAUUGUGUGUCUUAGCUCCCUGUGAAUUCGAUCCCAAAAUAUUACAAAUGAACCUCUUAUUUGAGAGAGUAAAUCACUCCUUAGGGUAAUUUUGAGUGAUAUCAUCCACCUAGAUUCUAAGUUCUAUUAGUCUUAUCGGAGAUUUGGGUUUUCCUCUUUUUCAUUGUUCUCUUCUUCUCCUUGUGUCUUCUAAUCGAAAGUUUAUUUGGCUUUUAGGAAUUGCCACUUUCAACUCAAUAUCAAAUAAAUUUGCAAAGUUUGAUUCUUAUGGGUUAAUUUUCAACGAUAAUCUGACAAGAAUAUCGAGCCGAGGAGAGAUUACAACGUCUAAGUAUCUGUUCUCGUUUCUUCGAACCGCUGGUUUUACUAGAACGACCAAGUGCGCGUCGUACAUUAUUGGAAAUACUAUUAAAUGUUUAUGAGUAGAUGUUUUUGACUCAACGUGUAAGAAUUUCGUAAACUGGAUUGGGUCUUUCGUUUCGAAGGAACUUUACGAAAUCAUUGAAACAAAGUGAGGAGAAGCAGAUGAUCAGGAAAAAUAAGCAAUGAACUCGAUGUCAUCCGAGUGAGGUGCACAGUUCGUCAAGUUGUGAGCGAACUAGUCCUGUCCUAGCCCUUAUUGUCUGUUGAUCGUUUCAUAUGAUCUUGUUUGACUUCUCGAAGUUUGUCGAACUGUUUUUUCGAGUUUUAUUUACGGGAAUCGUUUCGCAAGUGUGGUCAAAUUUAAUUUGAGGGAAGUUAUCCCACAAUAAUGUUAUUAUGAAAGCUGUUUCAUAAAAUGUCGUCGAGUGAAAGUCAUUUCGUAAAAUAUUGUCGAGUUUGGCUGUACGAGAGCCCUUUUUGGAAAACUCACGUUUUGCGGCUUUUCCGAAAAUCUAGUUUCUAUCUAGUUUCUGAGUUUUAAUAUCAGAAACUCUAGCUGCGAUGAGCUUAAUUAUCGUGAGCAAAUUUAGUCAAAAAUUUUCUCGUUUCCAUCGGAUUGAUCCUAGGGAGUUUUGAGUACUUUUUCCAUAGUAAGCUUAUUAGAAAAAUAUCGUAAAUUCACAAAAUAUGUUGCUGCUGAAGUGACGCUUGAAUUUUUUUGAAAUCUUAUGUUUCAGAAGACGUUCUAGCAGUGAGGGAUAUGAUCUUCAGUUUUGCUUUGUUUAAUCUUCGUCAGCUAGUUUAGGUUUCAAGUGAUUCUAAAGAAAUCAACUUCGUUUAUCAGAAGUUACUCGGAAGAAGUACAACAGUGGGAUUGGCAACCCAAUUUGUUGUGCUUCUAUUUCCACUUCGUUUAUUCAAAAAUUCUUAAACCAAUAACAAUAGAUUCUAUUAAGAUUUUUGAAAUCCAAGAACUAAUAACAAAGAAAUUUCAAAAUUUUCAAAGUUCACGAGAAUUCACUUUACCAAUAACCCCUUUAAUAAAAUAGCAUUAUUUUAAAACUAAUUUUGAUAUAUAAAAAAAUUUCUCUUUUAUUUGUAUUUUUUAUUUUUAGAAAAUUAAAAACCACGUCACUAUUUAUUUCGUAACUAAAGUAUGCACAAAUGUUUCGUAACUAAAACAUGGUUAUUUAGCCAUGAUUGUGUCACAGUAGAAUCGUAGAUGAAAAGUCUCAAUUUAGAAUGGUUACAAAUGUAUAAGCACAUUUUUUUAUUUUAUGGCUUUUUUUGGCUAAACUUACGUAUAGCCAAAAACAUUGGUUUAUAGCAGUGUUUUGAAAUCCGACUAGAACAUGCGGUUGAAAUGGUAGGGCCGUUAACUCUAUAUCUAAUCAGAUUUUUAUUUUUUUUAAAUCCAUUAUUUAUAAACCUGAUAAAACCCGCAGAGAACCGUUAAAUCCGUGAACCCGGCCACCCGCUGAAAUACUAGUUGACCCAAUAAAUACCUUUUACUUUUUUCUCUUAGAUUUUUUAGUUACUUUAUUAAAUAUGUUUUGUGCUCUAAAUAAAAAUGAGGUUUUCUCUUUUUAACUAUCGUCUUUACUGUCGACUUUGUAUAUCCUUCUACUUAUUUUUAAUUUAUUUUUUGUUUAUCGUGAAUCUCACUUACAAUACGACUUUGAUGAAGAUUUCACUAUGCCACAUGACGAAAAUGAAUUGAACGAUGAUAGAGAGAACAAAAAUUAGUUGAUGUGGUUAGGUAUUAGUUUAAUUUUGUUAUUCGCAUUAGACAUUUAAAUACUUAGAGUUUUUAAGUUUUGAUGUUUUUAUUGUCAUAACUCAUAAUUUGUUACAAAGUUACUAAAUAGUCUAAAUUAUUUUUGAUAUUUUUGAAUGUGAAAUAAAAAUAAAGAAUAAAGAAAACUAAAUUUAAGUAUUUUCUAUAUAUUUUAAAAACUUUUACAGUAAUAAACAAAGAAAAAUAAAUUUAAGUAUUUUCUAUAUAAUUUAAAAUAAUAUCUUUGUGCCUAGAUACAUACAUUCACGUCUUCUUUUUCGAUCUGGCCACGAGUUAGUUUUAGUUUUCUUCGUCUCCUUCUUCUAUUUUAUCUUUGAUCCCUCAUCUGGAGUCUUUGGUUGUAUCACUUACCCUUUUCUUUGUAGGUAUAAUUUUUUGAAAGCCGUAAGCUUCCGAUCUGUUUCUUCUCCCAUUUCUAAUUGUAGAUAUAAGGCCAAGGUGAGGACUUAUAUGAUAUAUUCUUCAUUUUUUCAUUAUCGCUUCAUAGUACGAGUUUCUAACUAAAUCAUUUGUACCUUCGUGUUAUUUAUAAGCAUACGUGUAGUUGUUUUAUAAAUGAACUAUAUCAUAUAUAUACACAUAUAUAUAUUGCAUUGUAAUGUGUAAACAACUGGAUCUACUUAUAGGUUGCUAAAACAAAUAUAGUUUAUGAUGAUUAAGACUUGUAUGUGGGUGUUUGCAUUGUUUGGGAAUAUGGCAUGUGUGAUUGGUAUAUAUAAGUUAGAGAAGGUCAUAAGGUGAUGCAAGCAUGGUCGAGCUAGAAGAUAAUUUGAAAUUGAUUCAACCCCGUGGAUGCAACUAUGUGGAUGCCAAACUGGUGGAUGCAGAAACUCGUGGAUACAACUCUAUGGAUGGAACUGAGUGGAUGCAACAAUCAAGUAACUAUGAAGCAGAUUUGGAGCUAAAUGGACUCGGUGAUACUCAGACUCGGACCCAAACUGAUGACGGACCAGACAUGACUUUCUCAACCGAAACCAAUCAAGACAAGGAUCCAUUCUGCUUGUCUAAGGGCCCAGUUACUAGAUCACAAACCAAAAGACUGAAAAAAUCAAUUGCUGCUUUGUUUCACUCUGAAACAGACGGAAAUCAAGCCAAGGAACCGAGCCAACUCUUCACUUACUCAGUCUUUGGACUGGUCUAAGUGUUAUUUCAAAAUCUAAGUCUUAUUACUUUUAUUUUCGAUUUUAUUAAGUAUUAGGACCUUUCAACUUCUUUUCCUUCUUUGUUGCUACUUAAACUCUCUUUUGUUUCUGAAAAACCUAAUCACUUUUUUUUAUCAAAACUUUCUUCGAAACUUGUGAUUCCUUUGUUCAGUUCUUGAGCAUUGAUUGCCUAGGAGGUGAUCUCCAUAAGCACCUGUCUUGUUCACUAGUGGGGUUGCCCUCACGGACUAAGGCAUCAAGCAAGUGUUUGAUCAAUCAAUAGAUCUCACACUUAAGUUCAUCAACCAUCUCGACAUCUACCCACAGAUCCAUCAUCUCUUCAUAAUCAGAUCAGUGUUAGUAACCUGAUCCUUCAUCAAAUCGGUUCUGUUUGUGCUAGUAGCAUUCAGUAUCUUCACAACCCUAAUAAUCCGAUCCUCAAGAUUAUUCAAGGGACUGCAUCCUCAUCUGGAUUGCAUUAAGUGGUAUCAGAGCAGAUCUGAAGGCUCUUGAUCUGGGUUUGAUUCUAAAACUUCUCUCUUUGUUUUUGGGAAUCUGUUUUCUAUUCUCUGCAAUUUUCCCUGCAAUUUUCUCAGAAAUCUCUUAUCUUUCUAUAUGUAUAAUCUGAAAGAGGGCCAACC
Molecule: long non-coding RNA, 14633 nt
Filed under: Brassica napus (rape)
Lineage: Eukaryota; Viridiplantae; Streptophyta; Magnoliopsida; Brassicales; Brassicaceae
Description: long non-coding RNA (BNAP_LNC009293)
Source: RNAcentral